AUAGUCUCUAGACCAUCUCUGGCUAUACUCUAUCUACCGUACAUCUUCGCUUCGCUUACUCGAUUCAUCCCUUAUUCGCUUUGUAACACCACGUGACUUUCUGAACGUCUUCGGGCAUACACGUCUCGUCCAAAUCCUUUACGAGAAUAAGAUAACACUAUAAUCACUAAACAAUCGAUCGCAUAUACAUCUCACGUAUAUCAAUACCCACUUAUAUAUCCCUUUAAACUUAUCAGAUACCACGUAACACAUAAGCAUGCUUUAACUCUAACAUAUAGUCAAUCAUAUUCCACAUAACAUAUCACCAAUCAAUUAUCAUAUAAAUCCUUAUCGAAAAUCCGACAUCGUCUCGUCUAUGUAUAAGACUAUCCACCUAUUAUCUUAUCCCAAUCAUUAAUCAACCAACAAAAUCCAAUAGCUAUAAUCCAUAUAUUCUUAUCCAAUAUCAAUCAUACGAAUCAUUUAUCACUUCACAAUAUCAAAACUAACACGUACUUCACAUAAUCAUCACCUGAUAGCACUUAGAUAACAUAUUAUCACAUUAUGCAUACUUAUCAACAAUUAUUCACCUUAUAGACUCAGCCAUAUAGUCACAUCAUAUUAAAAUAGACGUUAUAAGCUUCUGUCUCUCUUUCGUUUCACUUGAUUCCGACUUACGGAUCAAAAGUUAUGCUCAAAACAGUUUUCUCACUCUCCUAUCGGCACAUAACACAUCCAACCAAUAGCAGACAACACACAACACAUAAGGUUUCCCAUCCCAAUUGAUAUUAAAUCAAGUCUUGGGUUAAAAAUGAUUUUUCGGGAAUUUUCUGGAAUUUUUAAACAUUUUUCGGAAUUAAAAUCGAUAAAAGAAUCACUUUUCGGAUAAAUAAUCAAGUCCCAAAUACUUGAAAUUGGACUUGAAAUCAUUCAUAAACAAUUAUCGAGCCUUGAAAAUAAUUUGGAAAAAUAUUUUAAAGCUCGAAACUAUUUUUCGGAAUUUUUAAAUCAAAAAGGAUUAAUUAAAUCCAAUUAAUUAAUCAAUUAAAAUCAAUUAAUAAUUAAUUAAAAUAAUUAAUCAAUUAAUAUUUAAAUUAAUUGACCAAUUAAAAUAAUUAAUUACUAAUUAAAAUUAAUUAACAAACUAAUUUAGAUUUAUUUUUGAAUAAAAGAAUUAUUAAAAACUAUUUUUGAAAUUAAAAUAAUUAAAUAAAACAAUUUUAGAAAAUUAAACCAGAAAGGUUUGUUUUGUAAACUUUCAAAACUUUGUCGCAAGGUUUAAACUGCAAUUUUUCAAAGUUACAGGGGUUGAAUCGUUAAAACCGAAACUAUAGUACCCAAUCUUCAUCAUCUUCAAAAGAUGGGUGACCAAACGGCAAUUUGCCGCCGGCCACCACUGGUUUCGCCGGAAUCGGCGUUACAGACCUUUGUUCGCCACCAACUUGUCCAGAUCACCUCUCUAGCCCGCCAGGAAUCUUACCAUGCCCAUGAAUCAGCCAGAAUCCAAGCCGUUUGGCCGGAUUUUUGGCGACAAAAUCGCGCCGCCGCCAUUCUUUUUCAGAACCCGACGAGAUAUUCACAGCCCCAACACCACAUAUAAUCAUAUACACAUAUUCUACUCAUCACCAGGAACGUUUUUAUAGCUUUAACGUCUACCCAAGUUAAGCCGAAGUGAUUCUCCGGCAAGAAUUCAAAGUUUUCCGGCCAAUACUCAAGAACACUCAAGAACAUCCUUUCAAGAAUCAAACAACAUUUUCUAUAUGUUUCCGAACUCGAAAUUCAACAUAUAAUAUACCAAAACGACGAGAAAAACACGUACUACAACAUGGAAUCAUCAAAACAACCAAACAAUCACGUUUGCAAAAAUUCAUAAUUAAAAUCAUAAUAAUUCGAAUUUUGUAAAAAUCAUGUAAAAUCACCUGAUGAAUCUGCAGCGUUAUAGUUGAUUAUACUAUAUUCUACGCGUCGAGAGCUUCGUUUUGACUAUUCAUACGCCUCCAUCGGAUUCCAAUAACACCUUCAAAACCUUGUUUGAUUACGAAGAACACGAAGAACAAAGUUUGGUUUCUCUCGGUAUUCGUGCAGAGAAACUGGUGAAAAUGAUUUUACGGGUGAAAAUAAGCUCUAGAAAGGUCUAUUUAUAUUUACAAAUAAUUGGUACCCCUUUGGAUCGUUUAUGACAUGAAAGUACGUAUUUAGUAGCUUUAUAUUAAUAAAGCAGGGUCCAAUCGGUACUGGUUUUCAAGAUAAUCAUCAAAACGGGGCUUUUUAAUCAGUCAUUAGUAUGCGGGUCCCACUGCAAUUAUUACAAGAUAAGGAUGAAUCAAAAUAUCUAGUUUCACGUUUAUCGAGACAACCAGAUAAUUAUCAACAAUUAAAAUACCCGAAAAACUCCGCCGGACCGACUACGGGGAAAACCGUACUCCGGAUCGAAAAAGUCAAAACACGAAAAAUGUCCGGAAUAUUCAAAUUAGGCUAAAGGUGAGUUUUCUCGAAACUUUCGGAAAUAAAAUCGUUGCUCCGUCACGAGUGGACGGUUUCCAAAAAGAUCAAAUAAUUAAUAAAUAAAUACAAAUAUACGCAAUUAAAUCUGUAAAUCGAUUAUAAAAUCAUCUAACAUUCCAUAAAUCGAUACAAAAUAUCCAAAUAAACUACAUUUUAUCCUGAUCAUAUAGAAAUUGAAAUAUCUCAAAUCCGAGCACAUAUGAGCGGUCAAUUAAAUAAACCAGAUAGUACAAUAUUCACAAAAAUUCAUGUAUUAAUCAUAUAAUAUCCGUUAUUAACCACAAUUAAUUAACAAUCAAUUCCACCAACACCACUUAAUCACAUAACACGUAUAUUCACAGAAUAUUCAUACAGAAUUUUCAAAACAAUAUUUGAAAAUCAGUUUUGAAAAUACCAUUAUUUAUAAAUAACACAAUAACCCGGGGUUUAAAUAUAAAACUUUGAAAACUCAUUAAACUGGAAUAAAAUAUUAAAUCUUAUUCCUUUCUUUUUUUUAAGAAAAUCAUUUAUAAUAUUAAUAAAAAUAUUUAAAAGUCCGGGUCACUACAAUCUACCCUCCUUAUAGGGAUUCCGUCCUCGGAAUCAGAGAAAGAAGGAGGACGCAGAAUCUGUAAAAUCCAUAUUAAUCCACAUAACAAGUAUAAUCAUAUAAAACUAUUCACAUAAUCAAUUCACUUUUCAACUAAAGCCAGCAAUAAUAUCUAGACAAAUAAAUUUAUAAUAAUCAAAUCUGAAUUUAAAAAUAUGGGAUAUUACAUUCUACCGCCCUUAUAAGGAUUCCGUCCUCGGAAUCCCCCGAAGAAAACUAAAACGUACACGCUUCGUAAUAUCAUAUCGUCAUCCACCUUUUGAUCAACCUUUGCAUACCUUCAACUUUAAAGAAAUAGGAGAAUCAAACUUUCACAAUUACCAAAUUCGUUUCCCAAGAAUCAAUCUUUGGGAAUUUUGGAGGAACGAGAUGUUUUCAAGAUAGGUCACAUUGGAAUAUAAAAGUGACUGGGAGAUCAAUAAGAUCAAUUGAACUUAAUGUUGCGUGUCCAUAUUAGACACUACUAAAGGUUGUUAACCUUCUUGUAAUCACAACACACACAAGUGAUGGCGUCCCAUCCAACUCCUAUCACACAGACAGGUAUACCUUGUGUCCCCUAUACAUAGGGUUGUUCAUCCCAAUCAGAUGGAAAGAAUCCAAGAAAUCUCAAGGAGCAUCAAAGAAUGUUAAGGAUUAUCGAGGAAUAUAUUAAGGAACAUCAAAAGAUAUCAACGAAUAUCCAAGAAUGUCAAAGAAUAUCAACGAAUAUUAAGGGAUAUCAAAGAAUAUGGAAGAAUAUCAAGGGGUAUCAAAUAAUAUCAAGGAAUUCCAAUGUCUCUUCAUAAACACGCCUUUAUCAUACACCGAUUCAAUACUAACUCACACCAAUAAUCAAUAUCAUUAUCAUCUUAGAAUUUGAGAAAUUAAAGAUCUCAUUUAUCAAAACUUUUGUAGAAAAGAUAUCAUGAUAAUAUCUCACUGAUGAGAAAACAAUCAAAAGAAUCUUUAGUUGAAGAGAGGUAUUGCCAAGGUCUUCUCAGAUUUUCGCUCUGCUUCAAUAAAUCAUUGUUCGAUAUAUAUCUUCUUUUCAACGUUCUCGAUAAUCGAUCGAUGUUGACUCGUAAUAACCUUGUAAAAUUUCAUCGUCGACAUUAUCGUUCGUAAUAACUCUCGCCCAUGUAGUCUUCGUUUUUUUUCUAUUUCAUUCCAUCUGCCUUUGAAGUCCAUAGCACAACACGUAGCAUAUCUUCGAUUAUCUGGAUCAUCAACCUGUGGGUUAUGGGCCCACCUUGAUGCCAGUUGAAAUCCCGAUUAGCUCAAAGCGUUGUCGUCGAGGACUAACGUUCUAACUUACUCGUAGACAUCAUCUCUAAUAAUUGGACUCAAUUCCACAUAUUCUCUAUCAUUCACUUCUCACCUAUCAACCUCUAUCUACCAAUCUCUCCUUCUAAUCCAAUACAACUCAUACUCUACACUUACUCUUCAUAUCUUCACUCAAAACAAUAUACAUCUUCCAAAUAUCUGACAUGGUCAACAUACUAUGAACCAUGCAUUUAUAUCAUCCUCAAAUCAAUACAAUAAUCCAAUUUCAAAUAUGCAGUAUAGUCAGAAUACUCUGAACUCUGCAUUUUCACCAUUCUCAACUCAAUCAUUCACUAUCAAACUCUUCUAUAUAGGUCUAAUACUGACCUUUUCCACAAUUCACCAUCUCAAUUAAUCAACAUACUAGAAAUCAUAUGUCUAAACUUAAGAAUCCUAAUCUCUUUAAAUACCCACACUUAACUUGAUCAUCUAACUAAACUCUAUGCUUCACUCACAUCUCUAGACUAUUCCUAAAUAGUCCGACCAUACCUCUAUGUGAGGUUACACCACCUUCUUCUCUAGAAAACCUAUAACUAUAAUCUAUAUUCUAAUUUCAAAUACUUAUAACCUGUUGCUCUGAUACCAACUGUGACAGUCCAGGAAUCCGGGGGCCUGGAUUCUGACGUCACCACAUAAAACCCAUUUUUAAACACUUUUGAAAACCUGUAUUUAUUUAUUUAUUUAUUUAUUUAUUUUUUAAAAGAUAAUGAAUCCAAAUAAUUUAAAACUUGAAAACAUUUAAUAAAAGAUUUGAAAGAGAACACAAAUCAAAUGAUUUCAAAACCUGAAUUUCAAACUUGAAAGCCAUAAUAAGAGAAUUUCAAGAGAACAUUUAAACUUUAAUAAAUGAUUCGAAAGAGAACAUUUAAACCCCCUAAAACAACAGGAUCGCAUCCAGGUUACAGUAUUGAAAUUAGAAUCAACCACUAUUAUUACACAACAUCUCUUACCAAAUCAGAUCAUCUUCGAUAAGAAGAAUCACUGUCAACUAUUCCAGCUUGCACCAACCUCAUCAACUUUCCUGAACACUCCUCGACCACUGGAUCCUCAACUCUGUCUCCUCGCCUAGCAUUAGCCUUACUCACAAUCUCAAUCAAUCAUCUCAUCUUUAAGCCUUUCUGAAAUGGUUAGAAAGGAAUAGCAAGGGUGAGCAACAAUGCUCAGCAAGUAAUAAUAAACAAUGAUAGUUCUGAAAUGAUAUAAUAGAAGUUCACGAGUUCAAGAUAUAAGAGGAUUCAACCUGAGUUCAUGAGUUCAUGGUAUUGUAUAGAAUGAUUUACAAUACCUUGCAGCAUUUAAACUGAGAAAUUCAAUCUUUCCAAAGAAUUAUUGAAUUGGACUAUCACAUUUUAAUUAAAACCAAGGUUAGGCAGCUGAUCAGUUCCGCACUAACCCCGAGCAGGCCCCGCCAUGCUCUAUCACUGGAUCCAAGGCACUCAUUGGCCUAACAUGACCACGAAUCUGGUCCACAGGUUUAUAUAAAAACAAUAAUCCAAUUCUCUAAUUCAAUUCAAGAAGCCAAUGUAAAUUAACAGAACAUCAUCAUAAAUAUCAUCAACAACAGAAUAAUUCCAAUUCAAACUUUGAUAAUAAUCUAUUCAUAAAUCAUGAUCCAUCAUUUCAUAAAUCACAGUUCAGGAAAUCCUCAACUAUUCAGUAUCCUCCAUUAUCGGCUAAGCAACUGAAUUUAGCCUGCUAAACCAGCAUGACAAUGGCGGGUUGAAUAAUCAAGAAGAUCCCAAUUCAUUCAAAGCUCUAACUAUCACUGAGCAACACAUGCUUCAAUGACAAUCUGAACUUCGAAUUAAUUUGUAAAACGGAAAUUCUUUAGAAACUUGAAGAUUAGAAAGAAUGGGUCAGAAUACUCGCACUUUCGAACAUUGAAAAGAAAGGUAUGAAUACUUGAAACAUAUACCAAAGGAAUGGAUCAGAAUAUUUGCAAUAUAUCCAAGAGAAAGGUUUAGGAUACUUGCCUUAAAUCUGACUCCAGUCUCACAUCUCAAUCUCAUCUUUCCACUUUCACAAUCUAUGCAUCUCAUAGUCUCUAGACCAUCUCUGGCUAUACUCUAUCUACCGUACAUCUUCGCUUCGCUUACUCGAUUCAUCCCUUAUUCGCUUUGUAACACCACGUGACUUUCUGAACGUCUUCGGGCAUACACGUCUCGUCCAAAUCCUUUACGAGAAUAAGAUAACACUAUAAUCACUAAACAAUCGAUCGCAUAUACAUCUCACGUAUAUCAAUACCCACUUAUAUAUCCCUUUAAACUUAUCAGAUACCACGUAACACAUAAGCAUGCUUUAACUCUAACAUAUAGUCAAUCAUAUUCCACAUAACAUAUCACCAAUCAAUUAUCAUAUAAAUCCUUAUCGAAAAUCCGACAUCGUCUCGUCUAUGUAUAAGACUAUCCACCUAUUAUCCUAUCUCAAUCAUUAAUCAACCAACAAAAUCCAAUAGCUAUAAUCCAUAUAUUCUUAUCCAAUAUCAAUCAUACGAAUCAUUUAUCACUUCACAAUAUCAAAACUAACACGUACUUCACAUAAUCAUCACCUGAUAGCACUUAGAUCACAUAUUAUCACAUUAUGCAUACUUAUCAACAAUUAUUCACCUUAUAGACUCAGCCAUAUAGUCACAUCAUAUUAAAAUAGACGUUAUAAGCUUCUGUCUCUCUUUCGUUUCACUUGAUUCCGACUUACGGAUCAAAAGUUAUGCUCAAAACAGUUUUCUCACUCUCCUAUCG
This 7113-nucleotide long non-coding RNA is filed under the name Daucus carota (carrot). Its description in RNAcentral is "long non-coding RNA (DCAR_LNC007110)". Lineage: Eukaryota; Viridiplantae; Streptophyta; Magnoliopsida; Apiales; Apiaceae. The record is from RNAcentral.